RNAcentral lists this ribosomal RNA (449 nucleotides) under uncultured bacterium. RNAcentral describes it as "partial 16S ribosomal RNA". It matches the Rfam family "Bacterial small subunit ribosomal RNA", at positions 29 to 523 of the family's 1533-position model. The record is from RNAcentral.
AACGAACGCUGGCGGCAGGCUUAACACAUGCAGGUCGAGCGCCUUGGCAACAAGGAGCGGCAGACGGGUGAGUAACGCGUGGGAAUCUACCCAUCUCUACGGAAUAACUCAGGGAAACUUGUGCUAAUACCGUAUACGCCCUUUGGGGGAAAGAUUUAUCGGAGAUGGAUGAGCCCGCGUUGGAUUAGCUAGUUGGUGGGGUAAAGGCCUACCAAGGCGACGAUCCAUAGCUGGUCUGAGAGGAUGAUCAGCCACAUUGGGACUGAGACACGGCCCAAACUCCUACGGGAGGCAGCAGUGGGGAAUAUUGGACAAUGGGCGCAAGCCUGAUCCAGCCAUGCCGCGUGAGUGAUGAAGGCCCUAGGGUUGUAAAGCUCUUUCACCGGAGAAGAUAAUGACGGUAUCCGGAGAAGAAGCCCCGGCUAACUUCGUGCCAGCCGCCGCAGUAA